Molecule: long non-coding RNA, 200 nt
Filed under: Gossypium raimondii (Peruvian cotton)
Lineage: Eukaryota; Viridiplantae; Streptophyta; Magnoliopsida; Malvales; Malvaceae
Description: long non-coding RNA (GRAI_LNC001944)
Source: RNAcentral
ACAAUUCUAUUUUAUCUCAUUAUCACCAUUGUGUCUUCUUAAUGAUUAAUAUGAUCAUUGUCAAUAAAUGAUUGUGAUAAAUUGCUUGUUCGAGAACAAGCAACCCGUGGCCACGUUCCAUAUUUAUCAAUUCAUACAAUGCCUGUAGUAGGCCAAUUUGCCCGGACCCAAUUAAAUAAAUAAGCACCAAAAAUAAAAAC